Molecule: transfer RNA, 68 nt
Filed under: Vampyrum spectrum
Lineage: Eukaryota; Metazoa; Chordata; Mammalia; Chiroptera; Phyllostomidae
Description: transfer RNA-His
Rfam family: tRNA
About the family: Transfer RNA (tRNA) molecules are approximately 80 nucleotides in length. Their secondary structure includes four short double-helical elements and three loops (D, anti-codon, and T loops).
Source: RNAcentral
GUAAGCAUAGUUUAACAAAAACAUCAAACUGUGAAUUUGGUAAUAGAAGCUCACGCUCCUUGCUUACC